GCCUGGUUAGCUCAGUGGUAGAGCGUGUGGCUUUUAACCUCAAUGUCGCGGGUUCGACCCCCGCACCAGGCU
Molecule: transfer RNA, 72 nt
Organism: Tuber melanosporum (Perigord truffle)
Lineage: Eukaryota; Fungi; Ascomycota; Pezizomycetes; Pezizales; Tuberaceae
Rfam family: tRNA
About the family: Transfer RNA (tRNA) molecules are approximately 80 nucleotides in length. Their secondary structure includes four short double-helical elements and three loops (D, anti-codon, and T loops). Further hydrogen bonds mediate the characteristic L-shaped molecular structure. tRNAs have two regions of fundamental functional importance: the anti-codon, which is responsible for specific mRNA codon recognition, and the 3' end, to which the tRNAs corresponding amino acid is attached (by aminoacyl-tRNA synthetases). tRNAs cope with the degeneracy of the genetic code in two manners: having more than one tRNA (with a specific anti-codon) for a particular amino acid; and 'wobble' base-pairing, i.e. permitting non-standard base-pairing at the 3rd anti-codon position.
Source: Rfam